RNAcentral lists this transfer-messenger RNA (248 nucleotides) under Planctomycetota bacterium. Its description in RNAcentral is "partial transfer-messenger RNA". It matches the Rfam family "transfer-messenger RNA", at positions 1 to 256 of the family's 374-position model. Rfam says of the family: Bacterial tmRNA, also known as 10Sa RNA or SsrA, is named for its dual tRNA and mRNA-like properties. Its role is to liberate the mRNA from a stalled ribosome. The record is from RNAcentral. Lineage: Bacteria; Pseudomonadati; Planctomycetota.
GGGGGCGACUUGGAUUCGACGUGGGUCGCGAAACUCCAGGUGCAUGUCGAGGUGCAGAGUACCUCGUAAAACCAUCUGCAAAACCUAUAGUUGCCAACGACGACAACUACGCACUAGCUGCUUAAAAACCAGUUUUAGUGCCUUUCGCCCGGUGCGUGCCUGUGCGCUCGGAUCACGAGAGUCAUAUUCACAGGAUCGCGUGGAUGCACGUUCGGGGCUGAAGCGUUAAACCUUUUCCGGACUGGUCG